This 63-nucleotide transfer RNA is filed under the name Megabalanus tintinnabulum. RNAcentral's name for it is "tRNA-Tyr". It matches the Rfam family "tRNA". Rfam says of the family: Transfer RNA (tRNA) molecules are approximately 80 nucleotides in length. Their secondary structure includes four short double-helical elements and three loops (D, anti-codon, and T loops). The record is from RNAcentral. Lineage: Eukaryota; Metazoa; Arthropoda; Thecostraca; Balanomorpha; Balanidae.
AAAAAGGUGGCUGAGUCUAGGCGCUAGAUUGUAAAUCUAGAUACGAGUAAUACUCCCUUUUUA